UACGUAGGGGGCAAGCGUUGUCCGGAAUCAUUGGGCGUAAAGCGCGUGUAGGCGGCCAGGUAAGUCCGUUCUGAAAGCCCGGGGCUCAACCCCGGGAGGCGGAUGGAUACUGCUUGGCUCGAGUCCGGAAGAGGCGAGUGGAAUUCCUGGUGUAGCGGUGAAAUGCGCAGAUAUCAGGAGGAACACCGGUGGCGAAGGCGGAUCUCUGGGCCAUUACUGACGCUGAGGAGCGAAAGCGUGGGGAGCGAACAGG
RNAcentral lists this ribosomal RNA (253 nucleotides) under uncultured bacterium. RNAcentral describes it as "partial 16S ribosomal RNA". It matches the Rfam family "Bacterial small subunit ribosomal RNA", at positions 524 to 776 of the family's 1533-position model. The record is from RNAcentral.